AAUAAAUUUUUUAUGUUUUUAAUAAUUUAUUAUAAAUUUAUUUUACAUAUAAAUUUUAGUAUUAAAUUUUAAUUAUUUUAAUAAUAAUUAAUUUAAUUUAAAUAGUAAUUAAAAUUAAAAAUUUAAGAAAUUAAGAUUUAGUAAUAUUUAAAUUAAUAACUAAUUUUGUGCCAGCAGUUGCGGUUAAACAAAAUUUAAAUUGAAUUAUUUCAGUAUAAAAUAAAUAAGAAAAAAUAUUAAAUUAAAUAUUAAAUUGUUAAGUGAAAUUUCAAUUUGAUUAAAAAUUAUUAUAAAAUUAUGAUUUAAUAAAUUUUAUUAUAAACUAGGAUUAGAUACCCUAUUAUUAAAAAUUUAAUUAAAAAAUACUAAAAUAGUAGAUAAAAUAUUAUUGAAACUUAAAUAAUAUGGCGGUAUUUUAGUUCAUUUAGAGGAAUCUGUUUAUUAAUUGAUAAUCCACGAAUAAAUUUACUUAAUUUAUAAUUUUGUAUAUCAUUGUUAAAAAAAUAUUUUUAAAUAAAAAUAAUAUUUAAAAAUUUAAAAUAAAAUUUAAUUCAGAUCAAGAUGCAGAUUAUAAUUAAGUUUAAAAUGGAUUACAAUAAAUUUAUUUAAACGAAAAAAAAAAUUAAAGGUUUGAUUGAAGGUGGAUUUAAAUGUAAUUUUAAUUAGUUUAUUAAAAUGAUUAAAAAUUGGAAUAUGUACAUAUUGCCCGUCACUUUCAUUUUAAAAUUGAAAUAAGUCGUAACAAAGUAGAGGUACUGGAAAGUGUUUCUAGAAUGAU
RNAcentral lists this non-coding RNA (778 nucleotides) under Parasarpa zayla. The record is from RNAcentral. Lineage: Eukaryota; Metazoa; Arthropoda; Insecta; Lepidoptera; Nymphalidae.